UCAAAUAUUCUCUCUUCAUCAGCACUGGUAUUUUUUCCAAUAAUCGGCUAUCUCAUUCAGAUUUACAAAAUUAGAAAAUCAAACAGGGUAGAUGGCUUUUCCACCUCGGUCUGCUACAUUGCUCUAUUCUCUAAUAUUUUCCGAAUUUUGUUUUGGAUUGGAAAUAGGUUCGAAAUUGUACUCGUGUUACAAUCGUGUGUUAUGAUUGUUGUACAACUAUGCCUGUUAGAGCUUUGUACUCGAAUGGAACAUAAUACGGCGCCCUCUUCUUUAUUUAGCGCGAAAUUUUGGAAUUCACCUUUUUCGACACGAUUACAACUCAUAGGCCUCACCACACUGAUGUCACUCAUACUAUGUCACUUGUUUUCAUCUGAUCCGUGGUUCUUCAAAUUGAUGGGAUGUAUAUCGCUAGGCAUCGAGGCCACGUUAGCCAUUCCACAAGCUUACUCAAACUAUUGCAAUAAAAACGUCAGUGGUCUCAGUUUAACGUUGGUUCUCUGUUGGGUAGCUGGGGAUUUAUUCAAGAGUCAUUAUUUUAGGACAAAUAAUGCGCCGACUCAAUUUCUGGUAUCCAGUACGGUCCAAGUAAUAGUCGAUUUUAUUGUACUUUUUCAAAUGUUUUACUAUUCGAAACCGCAACAUUCAUUUUAAGGACAACAAAUCCAUGACAUGAGGCGAUCGUCAUAAGAAUCUGCUACUAAUAAACAUCUGUUGAACUCUGUAGCGAUUUUCUUCUUGCUCAAGUAACGCGAAGCAGAUUCAGAACUAAA
Molecule: long non-coding RNA, 770 nt
Organism: Schistocerca gregaria
Lineage: Eukaryota; Metazoa; Arthropoda; Insecta; Orthoptera; Acrididae
Exons: 2
Source: RefSeq, a predicted model, not a curated record